RNAcentral lists this ribosomal RNA (492 nucleotides) under uncultured bacterium. RNAcentral's name for it is "partial 16S ribosomal RNA". It matches the Rfam family "Bacterial small subunit ribosomal RNA", at positions 29 to 507 of the family's 1533-position model. The record is from RNAcentral.
AGUGAACGCUGGCGGUAGGCCUAACACAUGCAAGUCGAACGGCAGCACAGUAAGAGCUUGCUCUUACGGGUGGCGAGUGGCGGACGGGUGAGGAAUACAUCGGAAUCUACUUUUUCGUGGGGGAUAACGUAGGGAAACUUACGCUAAUACCGCAUACGACCUACGGGUGAAAGCAGGGGAGCUUCGGACCUUGCGCGAUUGAAUGAGCCGAUGUCGGAUUAGCUAGUUGGCGGGGUAAAGGCCCACCAAGGCGACGAUCCGUAGCUGGUCUGAGAGGAUGAUCAGCCACACUGGAACUGAGACACGGUCCAGACGCCUGCGGGAGGCAGCAGUGGGGAAUAUUGGACAAUGGGCGCAAGCCUGAUCCAGCCAUACCGCGUGGGUGAAGAAGGCCUUCGGGUUGUAAAGACCUUUUGUUGGGAAAGAAAAGCAGCAGGUUAAUACCCCGCUGUUCUGACGGUACCCAAAGAAUAAGCACCGGCUAACUUCGUG